UACGGAGGGUGCAAGCGUUAUCCGGAUUCACUGGGGUUAAAAGGUGCGUAGGUGGUUUUGUAAGUCAGUGGUGAAAGCCCGGAGCUCAACUCCGGAACUGCCAUUGAUACUGCUUAACUUGAAUCAACUUGAGGUGGAUGGAAUAUUACAUGUAGCGGUGAAAUGCUUAGAGAUGUAAUAGAACACCAAUUGCGAAGGCAGUUCACUAAGGUUGUAUUGACACUGAGGCACGAAAGCGUGGGGAUCAAACAGG
This 253-nucleotide ribosomal RNA is filed under the name uncultured bacterium. RNAcentral describes it as "partial 16S ribosomal RNA". It matches the Rfam family "Bacterial small subunit ribosomal RNA", at positions 524 to 776 of the family's 1533-position model. The record is from RNAcentral.